GACGAACGCUGGCGGCGUGCUUAACACAUGCAAGUCGAACGGAAAGGCCCUUCGGGGUGCUCGAGUGGCGAACGGGUGAGUAACACGUGGGUGAUCUGCCCUGCACUUUGGGAUAAGCCUGGGAAACUGGGUCUAAUACCGAAUAGGACUCCGGCCUUCAUGGGUUGGGGUGGAAAGCUUUUGCGGUGUGGGAUGGGCCCGCGGCCUAUCAGCUUGUUGGUGGGGUAAUGGCCUACCAAGGCGACGACGGGUAGCCGGCCUGAGAGGGUGACCGGCCACACUGGGACUGAGAUACGGCCCAGACUCCUACGGGAGGCAGCAGUGGGGAAUAUUGCACAAUGGGCGCAAGCCUGAUGCAGCGACGCCGCGUGAGGGAUGACGGCCUUCGGGUUGUAAACCUCUUUCAGCACAGACGAAGCGCAAGUGACGGUAUGUGCAGAAGAAGGACCGGCCAACUACGUGC
RNAcentral lists this ribosomal RNA (463 nucleotides) under uncultured Mycobacteriaceae bacterium. Its description in RNAcentral is "bacterial SSU rRNA". It matches the Rfam family "Bacterial small subunit ribosomal RNA", at positions 28 to 508 of the family's 1533-position model. Lineage: Bacteria; Bacillati; Actinomycetota; Actinomycetes; Mycobacteriales; Mycobacteriaceae. The record is from RNAcentral.